ACGGACUUCGGUCUGGUGGCGAGUGGCGAACGGGUGAGUAAUGUAUCGGAACGUGCCCAGUAGCGGGGGAUAACUACGCGAAGGCGUAGCUAAUACCGCAUACGCCCUACGGGGGAAAGCAGGGGAUCGUAAGACCUUGCACUAUUGGAGCGGCCGAUAUCGGAUUAGCUAGUUGGUGGGGUAACGGCUCACCAAGGCGACGAUCCGUAGCUGGUUUGAGGGGACGACCAGCCACACUGGGACUGAGACACGGCCCAGACUCCUACGGGAGGCAGCAGUGGGGAAUUUUGGACAAUGGGGGAAACCCUGAUCCAGCCAUCCCGCGUGUGCGAUGAAGGCCUUCGGGUUGUAAAGCACUUUUGGCAGGAAAGAAACGUCAUGGGUUAAUACCCCGUGAAACUGACGGUACCUGCAGAAUAAGCACCGGCUAACUACGUGCCAGCAGCCGCGGUAAUACGUAGGGUGCAAGCGUUAAUCGGAAUUACUGGGCGUAAAGCGUGCGCAGGCGGUUCGGAAAGAAAGAUGUGAAAUCCCAGAGCUUAACUUUGGAACUGCAUUUUUAACUACCGGGCUAGAGUGUGUCAGAGGGAGGUGGAAUUCCGCGUGUAGCAGUGAAAUGCGUAGAUAUGCGGAGGAACACCGAUGGCGAAGGCAGCCUCCUGGGAUAACACUGACGCUCAUGCACGAAAG
Molecule: ribosomal RNA, 690 nt
Filed under: uncultured bacterium
Lineage: Bacteria
Description: bacterial SSU rRNA
Rfam family: Bacterial small subunit ribosomal RNA
Source: RNAcentral